This 435-nucleotide ribosomal RNA is filed under the name uncultured bacterium. RNAcentral's name for it is "partial 16S ribosomal RNA". It matches the Rfam family "Bacterial small subunit ribosomal RNA", at positions 28 to 507 of the family's 1533-position model. The record is from RNAcentral.
GAUGAACGCUGGCGGUAUGCUUAACACAUGCAAGUCGAACGGACCCUUCGGAGUUAGUGGCGGACGGGUGAGUAACGCGUGAGAAUCUGGCUUUGGGUUCGGGACACCCACUGGAAACGGUGGCUAAUACCGGAUGUGCCGAGAGGUAAAAGAGAAAUUGCCUGCAGAUGAGCUCGCGUCUGAUUAGCUAGUUGGUGAGGUAAAGGCUCACCAAGGCAGCGAUCAGUAGCUGGUCUGAGAGGAUGACCAGCCACACUGGGACUGAGACACGGCCCAGACUCCUACGGGAGGCAGCAGUGGGGAAUUUUCCGAAAUGGGCGAAAGCCUGACGGAGCAAUACCGCGUGAGGGAAGAAGGCUCUUGGGUUGUAAACCUCUUUUCUUAGGGAAGAACAAAAUGACGGUACCUAAGGAAUCAGCAUCGGCUAACUCCGUG